Peromyscus californicus insignis is the source of this 7878-nucleotide long non-coding RNA. RefSeq lists it as uncharacterized. NCBI's taxonomy places the organism in Eukaryota, Metazoa, Chordata, Mammalia, Rodentia, Cricetidae. The transcript has 4 exons. The record is from RefSeq and is a predicted model, not a curated record.
UUCGGGAAAGCUCGGAAGCACUCGGCUCCAGCCGGCGAACGCGCCUCGAAGGGCCGCGGGGCGGGGCGUCCGCCAUCUUGGCACGCUAAUGCGUCCCGGGCGUGACCAAGUUUAGAUGAGUCGUCAUGCCCUCCCGUUGUACACACAGGUUCUGGAUUGGAACUCUGGUCCUCACACCCGCUGUUCUUCACACUUACAUGGUUCUAGCAGGGGAGCGCAGCUACUCGUAUACCCUUGACCGAAGACCGGUCCUCCUCUAUUCGGGGAAGGUCAUCCUCUUCGACUGAGCGUGCAGCUUCAGGAGGGACGCAUCUGGAGCAGUGAGGGAGGAAGGGGACACCCGCCUAGCCAGCCAGAUCAGCCGAAUCAACCCUGGCGAUCAAUGGGGUGACAGAUGUCGCAGCCAGAUCGCCCUCACAUCCUCGUUUUGCUUUGUUUUGAGACAGGAUUUCUGUGUGUUGCCUGGCUGUCCUAGAACUUGCUCUAUAGACCUGGCCUCGAACUCACAGAGAUCCGCCUGUCUCUGCCUCCUGAGUGCUGGGAUUAAAGGUGUGCACCACCGCUGCCCAGUAUGAAAUAAUUUUUUUUGAUGAAUACAUUUUUUAAAGAACAAUUCUUAAGCUGGAUGUGGUGGUUCACACUUUUAAUCCCAGCACGUGGGAGGCAGAGACAGGCAAAUCUCUGUGAGUUUCAGGCUAGCCUGGUCUACAUAGUGAGACCUUGUCUCAAAAAACAAAUGAAAAUAAAUUAAUAAAUAAAAAUUCUUUAAGAAAAUUAUGUUUAAGCUAGGAUCCUCCUUCUGGCCAAUUUAUUGAUCAAGUGGUUGGGUAAAAUAAGAAUGCCUUCCGACAAGUAAGUCCUCAAAGAAGUUUUACCUCCCACACCAUGUUUAAGGAAGCUUCUGGAACAUAUGCUCUUCUAGGAGGAGGAAAUGAACCAAAAAAAAAAAAAAAAAAGUUACGAAAGACAGAAACUUGAGCUCCGGCAGAGCAGAAGGGAGCCCACACUGGGUGCAGGGAAACUUCGCCUUUAACCCACACAAGGUCUGUGCCCAUGGCCACUUCCUUCAAAUGAACAAGCCCACACUUUUGUUAACCAUCUGGGUUCCGAUGACAGGCUGUGGAUGUGACAAUGAUGUUCAGGAUGAGACAGUAAGGAAUGGUCUCAGUACUGUUCCCCACCCCUAAUGUUUUAUCAUAAAAAUCUGGGACAGCUGUUGAGAUGGCUGUUCACGGGAAGAAGUACUUACUGCCAAGCCUGGUGACCUGCAUUGGAUCCCCAGGGCUGGAUACUGAAAGAAGAGACCCAAUUCCUUAAAGUUGUCCUCUGACUUCUGCCUGCAUACUGUGGCAUGUACACAGUACACACACACACACACACACACACACACACACAAAUAUAAUUUUUAAAAAUUAGUGCCGUGUGCUGGCAGAUGCCUUUAGUUCCAGCACUUUAGAGGCAGAGGUACACCUGUGAAUUUGAGUCCAGCCUGGUUUACAUGUGGAGUUGCAAGCUAGCCAGGGCUACAUAGUGAGAUUCUAUCUGAAAAAUGAAAAAAACAAACAAAACAAAAAAAAAAGACACCUUAGUGUUUUGUUUGUUUGUUGUUGUUUGAGACAGGGUUUCACUGUGUAUCACUGACUGUUCUGGAACUCACAUAAUACACUUUUUUGUUUCUUGUUUUUGUUUUGUUUUCCAGAUAGGAUUUCUCUGUGUAGCUUUGGCACCUUUCCUGGAACUCACUCUGUAGACCAGGCUGGCCUCGAACUCACAGAGAUCCACCUGGCUCUGCCUCCCAAGUGCUCUGAUUAAAGGUGUGUGCCACCACCCAGCCUUGUUUUGGUUAUCCCCCCCAACACACACAGGGGGACCAACAAUCACCAGCUGCCCAGUUACCAAGAAAUUAUUAUGCUUCCGCAGUCUCUUGAUGUUGAUUCCGCACGCAGAGCAGUCAAAGUUGCACUUUGUGUGCCACUCAUGACAGAAGCCCUUUUUUUGUUUUGGUUUUUUGAGACAGGAUCUCACUAUGUAGCCUUGGGUAGUCUGGAAUUUGCCAUAUAGACCAGGCUGGCACUGAACUCAUAGAGAUCUGCUGGCCUCUGUCUCCUGAGUGCUGGGAUUUAAGGUACAUGCCACCACACCCAUCUCAUCACGUGUAAGUUUUUUUUAGAAGAAUCAUUAAAAUAAAGGGUUAUACGUCUGGAAAGAUGGCUUGGAGGUUAAGAGCAGGUACUGUUCUUACAAGGGACUAGAGUUUGAGGCCCAGCACCCACCACCUCUGGUUUGGAUCUGAUGCCCUCUUCUGGACUCCAUGGGUACCAGCAAAGACAUGGGCACACACAUACAUAAAGAAAAAUGAAAGAAAUGUUUGGUUUUAUAAAAGGAGAAUUUAUAGUAAUUAAAGGAAUGCCUGUCAUUAAUGUGAAUAGUGAUUUAACAGUGCUCUCACAGAAUUCAAUUCCUGCCCAGGUUCCGUUGGGACAGAUGGGUCUCUCUGGUCUGUUUCACUAUGACCCCCCCCUUUUUUUCCAAAUUAGCUAAUUAAUCACUUUAUUUAUUUAUUUAUUUAUUUAUUUAUUUAGCAUACAUGCAUACCCAUGAUCCGUGGAGAUCAAAGCACUACUUUCUAGAGUUAAGUUUGUUUUUUUGUUUUUCUUUAGGUUUUGUUGUUUUGUUUUGUUUUGUAGACAGUGUCUAUGUAACCCUGGCUGUCCUGGAACUCAACAUGUAAACCAGACUGGCCUCGAACUCAGAGAUCCUCCUACCUCGGCUUCCUGAGUGUUAGGAUUAAAGGCAUGGGCCACCACUCCUGGCCUCUGAAGCUAGCUCUUGCCUUCCGCCUUGUUAAGACAGGGUUUUCUGUGGCAUUGAGCUUCCAGGUGAUUCUCCUCACAUUGUGCUGUAGGAAUGCUGACAUUAUAGACCUUUCUACAGCAUCUGGCUUUUAUGUGGGCUGUGGGAAUCGAACUUAGGUCACCAGGCUUGGGGAAAAAAGCACUUUAUGCUGAGUGAUCUCCCAGGCCUACAACUUUAAUUCUAAAAAAUAUGUAUUUAUUUCAUGUGUGUGUGUGUGUGUGUGUGUGUGUGUGUGUGUGUGUGUGUGUGUGUGUCUGAAUCUGUGUGUGUACUAUAUGCAUGCAGGAGACCAAGGAGGUUAGAAGACGGCAUGUGGGAGCAGGGAUGGAGAGAUGGCACCGACAGUUUAGAGCACUUGCAGUGGACUAUUCCUUUACUCUGUAGGCUGCUGUAGAAGAGGAGGAGGAAGAAGUUAUGAGAAUACCUUGAAACUGGAGUUAUGGGUGGUUGUGGGUACUGGGAACUCUGCUGCUAUAAUAAAAUACCACAUCCUGGGUAAUUUAUAAAUAUCAGAAAUUUUUUUUUCUCACAGAGGAGGCUAUUAACUCCAAUAUCGAGGUCUCCGCAGAAUGAUGUGCACACACAAAUGCACAAACAUAUAAAAUACAUCAUGUGUAUUGUAUAAUUAGCACAGUACAGUUAUCAAAUAAUGGGGAUGGAGAGAUGAUCCAUAGAGUAAAGGCUUUACCCUGCAAGGGUGAAGAUCAGAAUUUGGAUCCCCAGCAUGCAAGUAAAUGCCAUGGAUGCCUAGCAGCUUAUCUAUAACCCCAGUGCACAGGAGGCAGAGGUGAGGGAUCCCUAGAGCAAGCUGGCUAGCUAGGCUAGUUAAAUCAGAGGCUUCUGGGUUUAAGGGAGAGAUCCUACAUCAAUACAUAAGGUUGUGAGUGGUUGAGGAAGACACCCAAUGUCAACUCUGGCCUCCAUAUAUAUACAUACAUGUGCAUACAUGUGCCCACACACAUGCACACAUCAUACAUCAAAUCAUUGAAACUACCUUAUUCCUCAUAUUUUUUACAGAUUCAUUCUAUUUUUAAUUCUAUGUAUGUGGGUACAUGUGAGUAUAGGUGUCCUCAGAGUGCAGAAGAGGGCAUUAGAUCCCCUGAAUUGCCUGAUGUCACCUGACAUGUGUUCUGGGAACCAAACCUGGGUCCUCUUCAGGAACAGUACCCUUAAUCACUUAGACAUCGCUCCAAAUCCUCCCAUCUUUGUGGGGGUAGGUAGAGUCUCUCUCUGUAGACCAGGCUGGCCUGGAACUCACAGAGAUCCACCUGCCUCUGCCUCUCCAGCCCUGGGAUUAAAGGUGGGAACCACCUUGCCUGGUUCACACCUUUCCCAUAUUUAUGGCCCUAGUGAACCCAUAAUUGAAUUGAGAGCACAAGGUUCAUGCUCCUCAUUUUGCACAGAGGAUCAAAGGGCUUACUGACUCAGGGGUGUUCCAGAGAUCAAUGAUGGCAAGUUGGAGCCAGGCUGGUGACAUCAGGGGAUCCUACUUCAGGAAUCUAUCAACUGUGCCAUGCCUCCAUAUAAAAUGACCAUAAGGUCUCAGUAACUAUUAUGUUUCAUUUUAUUUUAAAUAUUUAUUUCUUUUUAUUGUAUGUAUAUGUGUGUUUUACUUGCAUGUAUGUCUGUGGACCAUGUAUGUGUAGGUGCAUGCUUGAUGCCUGCAGAGCCAGAAAAAGGCUUUAGAUCCCCUGGAACUGAAGUUACAAACUGUUGUGAGUCACCAGGUGGGUGCUCCGAACUGAGCCUGUGUCCUCUGCAAGAGCAGGAAGUGCAGCCCAGUGGUAGUGGCGCAUGCCUUUAAUCCCAGCUCUUGGGAGGCAGAGCCAGGUGGAUCCCUGUGAGUUCGAGGCCAGCCUAGUCUACAGAGUGAAAUCCAGGACAGGCACCAAAACUAGAUAGAGAAACCCUGUCUUGAAAAAAACAACAAAACAAAACAAAACAGCAGAAAGUGCUCCUAACGGCUGAGCCACCUCUCUAGCCCUAGUCUAACUGAUUUUAAAACGGGCAAGAGUGUGGAUUGGAUGGGUCAGUGGAUAGAGGCACUUGCUGCCAAAUCUGAUGGCUUGAGUUUUAUCCUGGGGUCCCACACAGUAGGAGGAGAGAUCUGACUCCUGGGAGUUCUCUCCUGCCCUGACACGUGCACCGUGAUAUGAAUGUGUCCUACACACACAUGAUAAAUAAAUGUAAUGAACCAUUUUUAAAAAAUAGAUACUAAAAGAUGGAAGUGGGGUGGUGCAUGAGGAGGCAGAAGUCCUGGGAGUUCAAAGUCAUUCAUAGCUACGCGGAGAGUUCAAAAGCAGGCAGGGCAUGGUGCUACACACCUUUAAUCCCAACAUUGGAGAGGCAGAGGCAGGAGGAUCUCUGUGAAUUCCAGGCCAGCCUGGACUAUAUAACAAAAACUAAAAAUAUUUUUAAAAAAGCUAGCCUAGGCUACGUAACACCCCUGUCUCAAGCCACCUCCACCUCUCCAUGCACAGGCUGCCCACAACCUUCAGUCCCUACAGCCCACACAGCCAGCUUGACUGACGUACAUCUGGACUUUUAGACAUGGAAGAAAUAAACUUGGAGCUUGAUGAAGCCAUUGUCAUUUUGCAUCUGUGUUAUUUGUAAUCCUUCUGAACCAGUGGAGGGCUUUUUGUGUGUAUAUGUACAUGUACGUUUGUAUGUGGCUGUGCGUGUGCAUGUGUGUAUGGAAGCCGGAGGUCUAUGUCAGGUAUCUUCCUCAAUGAUGCUUCACUUUAUUUAUAAAUUUCAUGGAUUUCUUUAUUUUGGGUAGGGUCAGUGAGUGGGUCUGUGGGCAUGACCCCUGGGUGGAAGUCCAAAGGUGACUUGCAAGAGUUGGUGCUUGGUGAGAUGCAGCCGUCUCUACCUGCUGAGUCACCUUGCCCCUGUUUCCGACCACAGCCCUUUACUUUUUAACACAAGACCUCUCACUCCGCCAGGACACCCCAGGGAUCCCCCUACCUCUGCAUCCCCACCACAGGGAUUACAGGUGUUUUGACAUGGGUCCUGGGAAUUGGACUCAGGGCCUCAUGUUGGUACCGUAAGCCUUUUACCAACUGACCCAUCACCAGUCCCAAUACCUUUUGGUUGUCCCUGCCCAGCCACGACUUCCCAUUUCUUCACAAGACUUCCUCUACCCCAUUGUUUCUGGUUAUGUGACUCACUGAGUCCCUUUCUUCCCUAAUGAGUGAGAAGGCACCAGACAACCGAGAUUCUCCUCAGGGAUGAGCAUGUUUUUCUGGAGUGGCACAGGGACCUCAAGCAGGAGUUAGAAUUGGUAAUAUCAAUACCACCCAAGUCUAGCCUUUGAGUCUUCAUUAUUUUUUAAAUUUUGUAAACAUUUACUUGUGGGUGCAUGCAUGCACAUGUGUACACACGCACACAAAUAAAAAUACAAUUAAGUUUUUUUGUUUAAGAAAACAUUUCCCCAGCCAAGUGGUGGUGGCACAUGCCUUUGAUCAGGCAGAGGCCGGCAGAUCUCUGAUUUCGAGGCCAGCCUAGUCUACAGAGUUAGUUCCUAAGAAAAAUGAAAAAAACAAAAAACAAAAAAGAUAACCUUUCCCAAUUUUUUCAGUCUUUCUAUGUAGUUCUGGCUGUCCUGGAAAUCACUAUGUAGAUCAGUCUUGCUUCAAACUUACAGAGAUCCAUCUGCUUCUGUAUCCCAAGUGCUGGGACUAAAGGUGUGUACUACCAUGACUGUCAGGACUGAACUUUUGAAAUGUGGCAACUAGAUAUGAAGAACUGAAUUUUAGACGCUGGACAGGUGACUUUUCAAUAGACCACCUGCCUAGAAUCCCCCAGUGAGGGGCUGGGGUGUGGCUCAGUGGUAGAACACCUGCCUAGAAUCCCCCAGUGAGGGGCUGGGGUGUGGCUCAGUGGUAGAGCACCUGCCUAGAAUCCCCUACUGAGAGACUGGAGGUAUAGUUCAGUGGUAGAGCACCUGCCUAGACUUCCCUAGUGAGAGGCUAGGGAAUAAUUCAGUGAUAGAGACACACAUGCAUCAUGGCACUUGUGUGUCUGUGAACACACUCACACACAUAUGCAUUUUUAUUUUUUUGAAACAGGGUCUGACUAUGUAGCCAUAGGUGGUCUGGAACUUGAUAUGUAGGCCUGACUGGCCUUGGACUCAUAGAGAUCUGCCUCCCAAGUGCUAGAAUCAAAGGUAUGAACCACCACAUCCUGCUUAAAAAUUAGUUUUGAAUGCACAGUAAAGUGGAAAGAAAUCUACAGUGAAGACACAUUCCCCCAUAAAUCUACAACAGGCAUUCUAACUAUACUUGCUUUAUCGUACUUCUAUCCAUUUACCCAUUCACAAUUAAUCUCUUUUAUGUGUAUGUGUGUUGGUGCAGGUAUAAGUCUGUGAGUAUAUAUGUGUGAGCACACAUGUGUGAGUGCAUGUGUAUAAGUAUGCAGAUAGUGGUCAGAGGUCAACCUCAAGUGUCAUUUCUCAGUAACCAUGCACUUUAAUUUUAUUGCAUUUGUGUAUGUGUAUGUGUUUGCAAAGACACGUGGAAAUUAUCAAAAGCACCAUGGACCUACCAUACCAAUCCUCGUCUUGGAAUGUCUCUGUGUUAAAUAUAUUAAAAGAUUUAUUUAUCUUAUUUUAUGUGUAUAAGUGUUUUGUUUGCAUGUAUGUAUGCACACUAUGUGAGUUCCUGGUUUCCAUGGAGGUCGGAAGAGAAUGUUGGAUCCCAUAGAACUGAAGUUACAUUACGAAUGAUUGUGAGCCACCAAUAAGGGUACUGAGAACCAAACCUGGGUCCUCUACAGUAGUGAUGGAUGCUCUUAAACAGUGAGCCAACCCCUUAGUUGUUGGUUUUUUAAGAUUUAAAUUCUGUGUGUGUGUGUGUGUGUGUGUGUGUGUGUAUGUGUUUGUGUAUGUGUAUGUGUUUACAUGUGCAUGAAAGUACCCAAAGAGGCCAGGAGAGGGCAUCAGAUCCCCCAGAGCUAGAGUCACAGGCAGUUAUGAGCCACCCAAAGUAGGUGCUAGGAACCAAAAAGUUGUUAGCUGCCAUG